This is a long non-coding RNA of Photinus pyralis (common eastern firefly), 783 nucleotides long. RefSeq lists it as uncharacterized. NCBI's taxonomy places the organism in Eukaryota, Metazoa, Arthropoda, Insecta, Coleoptera, Lampyridae. The record is from RefSeq and is a predicted model, not a curated record. The transcript is spliced from 2 exons.
ACUUGUUGUUUGUUACUAACAUUUUUCUCCGUGAAUGAAGCAGUCACGGGGGUGGUAAAAACUAGUCACAAUUGAGCUACGACACCUAAUUCCGUGAUUGUCUUCGACUUUCAACCUUUCACCUACGUUGUGUUAAUACUAUGGCGGUUGUUUUUAUGUGUUGGGACGUGAGGGACCAUCUGGAAGGGAAUUAACUAAAAUGAAAAGUUUUUCUACGUAAGAAAAAAUAAGAACAAAUGAACUGCUGUGUAAACUACUUCAUGCGGAUGAUUUCUUAGGAAUCCGUACCUAUAACAACGAUGGGUCACCCUGUAUGAUGCACAUUUCAAUUUUUAAAGUUGAAUGUGGUCGCUAAUUUUAGAUUGAACAUAAAUUCGAUCAUGUUAUUUUGUUCGAUUUAUUAAUGUUUUUCGUUUGUAGAAGUUUAUCUCCGGUCAUUGCGAUAAGAGUUUGUAUAAGCUCAUUAAGUUGUGCGCGGAAAGAAAACACAGAUGUUCAGUUUAUUUCGACGCGUAUUAAUUUUGACAAAGAAGUGUAUGUAUGGCGCAGCCUGGAGUAAUCGGUUUGUUUUAGAAGAAAAUUCGAUUUUAUAAAUACGUCAUUAUAAAAUGAAUGUUAUUAUUUCAGUGAGCUGAACCGUUGUCCACGUUUACAAAGGAAUUAAUCUUCAGUUGGCGUUUUGCUUUUCUUGGUAAUUCGACUAAUAAAGCCCAAAUUACGACCCAGGAUGUGAGAUAUUAUGUCAUUGGUGCUGGCGUACAGGUGAUACAGGGUGACAGAAAA